Molecule: long non-coding RNA, 1077 nt
Filed under: Camarhynchus parvulus
Lineage: Eukaryota; Metazoa; Chordata; Aves; Passeriformes; Thraupidae
Description: lncRNA (ENSCPVG00000017986.1)
Source: RNAcentral
AUGGGGGAGGGGGCGGUGAGGGGGGGUUCCCAUUGGCCAGAUGGGAUUUUUGGGGGGAUUUUGGGUUUUUGGGGUGUCACCUCCUGUCCCUUCCAUUCCCGGGUUCCCAUUGGCCAGAUGGGAUUUUUGGGGGGGAUUUUGGGUUUUUUGGGGGGAUUUUGGGGGUGUCACCUCCUGUUCCCUCCUCUCCAAGGUUCCCAUUGGCCAGAUGGGAUUUUGGGGGAUUUUUGGGGGAAUUUUUGGGGGAUUUUGGGGUUUUUGGGGGUGUCACCUCCUGUCCCCUCCCUCUCCCAAGUUCCCAUUGGCCAGAUGGGAUUUUGGGGGGAUUUUGGGGGUGUCACCUCCUGUCCCCUCCAUUCCCAGGUUCCCAUUGGCCAGAUGGGAUUUUUGGGGGAUUUUGGGGUUUUUGGGGGGAUUUUGGGGGUGUCACCUCCUGUCCCCUCCUCUCCCGGAUUUCCAUUGGCCAGAUGGGAUUUGGGGGGAUUUUUGGGGGGAUUUUUGGGGGAUUUUGGGGUUUUUGGAGGUGUCACCUCCUGUCCCCUCCCUCUCCCAAGUUCCCAUUGGCCAGAUGGGAUUUUGGGGGGAUUUUGGGGGUGUCACCUCCUGUCCCCUCCAUUCCCAGAUUCCCAUUGGCCAGAUGGGAUUUUGGGGGAUUUUGGGGAGGAUUUUGGGGGAUUUUGGGGUUUUUGGGGGGUGUCACCUCCUGUCCCCUCCAUUCCCAGAUUCCUAUUGGCCAGAUGGGAUUUUUGGGGGAUUUUGGGGUUUUUGGGGGGUGUCACCUCCUGUCCCCUCCAUUCCCAGAUUCCUAUUGGCCAGAUGGGAUUUUUGGGGGAUUUUGGGGUUUUUGGGGGUGUCACCUCCUGUCCCCUCCAUUCCCAGAUUCCCAUUGGCCAGCCGGGAUUUUGGGGGGAUUUUGGGGGGGUUUGUCACCUCCUGUCCCCUCCCCCGCCGGUGCCCGGUGUCACCUCCCGGUGUUGUCGCGUCCCCGUCGUGCUCCAUCCAUCCCAUUGUCCGGUGUGGUAGGAAAAGUGUCCGCGGAGCCAUAAAGAGCUGAUUUCACCCCAAAACAAUUCCACG